UGGGCCUUAUUGAAACUGUUAUGUAGAGAU
This 30-nucleotide non-coding RNA is filed under the name Rattus norvegicus (Norway rat). The record is from RNAcentral. Lineage: Eukaryota; Metazoa; Chordata; Mammalia; Rodentia; Muridae.